CUAGCCGUAAACGAUGGGCACUAGGUGUGGGGGGUCGAUCAACUCCCUCCGUGCCGCAGCUAACGCAUUAAGUGCCCCGCCUGGGGAGUACGACCGCAAGGUUAAAACUCAAAGGAAUUGACGGGGGCCCGGCACAAGCAGCGGAGCAUGUGGCUUAAUUCGACGCAACGCGAAGAACCUUACCAAGGCUUGACAUGCAGGGAAAAGCGGCGGAAACGUCGUGUCCGCAAGGGCCCUGCACAGGUGGUGCAUGGCCGUCGUCAGCUCGUGUCGUGAGAUGUUGGGUUAAGUCCCGCAACGAGCGCAACCCCUGUCCUAUGUUGCCAGCAUUAAGUUGGGAACUCUAAGGGGACCGCCGGUGACAAACCG
Molecule: ribosomal RNA, 369 nt
Filed under: uncultured bacterium
Lineage: Bacteria
Description: bacterial SSU rRNA
Rfam family: Bacterial small subunit ribosomal RNA
Source: RNAcentral